Asparagus officinalis (garden asparagus) is the source of this 362-nucleotide long non-coding RNA. RefSeq lists it as uncharacterized. Lineage: Eukaryota; Viridiplantae; Streptophyta; Magnoliopsida; Asparagales; Asparagaceae. The transcript has 3 exons. The record is from RefSeq and is a predicted model, not a curated record.
GUCGCCUCCUCGCCCUCGUGUCACCCUCCUCUUCAACAACCCUCAACGUGUCCCUUCAACGAGCAGGACCCCACGUCAUCACGUCGUCGUAUUUAUAACCAAAGUCCCCUCUCAGAUCCUCUCCCAUCUAAAAAGCCUAAUUUUAAAAAAAAAAAAAUUAAACUUUUGCCCCACACUCAGCACCUUUCCUCGAUCCUAGGGUUUCUAAUAAUAAAGGGCCGAAAUCAUGAGCUUCGUGUUUCGGGGGAGCAGGGGAGACGUUGAGAGUGGGUUCUCAGGGUUUGCACCCGAGAGGCGACCAACGAGAAUGCAUGCUGGUGGGCGAUCCGUUAAUACGAAUUCGAUGGCGUUUCUUCUCACGG